Molecule: ribosomal RNA, 260 nt
Filed under: uncultured bacterium
Lineage: Bacteria
Description: partial 16S ribosomal RNA
Rfam family: Bacterial small subunit ribosomal RNA
Source: RNAcentral
GUCCGCACUGUAAACGAUGAUUACUCGCUGCUAGAGGGCAACUUUUAGUGGCUUAGCGAAAGCGAUAAGUAAUCCACCUGGGGAGUACGCCGGCAACGGUGAAACUCAAAAGGAAUUGACGGGGGCCCGCACAAGCGGAGGAGCAUGUGGUUUAAUUCGAUGAUACGCGAGGAACCUUACCAGGGCUUGAAAGUUAGGGAAUGGAUCUGAAAGGAUUCAGUCAGCAAUGACCCGAAAACUAGGUGCUGCAUGGCUGUCGU